UAAUGUUUUAAAAUUUAAACUACAAAUAUUAAAUAUUAAAUUAUAAAGUUAAAUAUUUUCAAAACAUUAUCUCAAACCAUAUCUAUUUCGAACCUUUAACCCUAAACCCUGAACCACAUACUUUGACCUAUACCAUAAAACAUUAAACUUCAAACUUUAAAAAAAAAAUAAUUAAUCAUCUACCAUAAAUUCUAACUACAAAUGUUAAAACUCUAAUAUUUUUGUUAUUUAAAAAUAUAUUCUUAAAUCUUAAAUCGAAACCCUAAACACUAUAUACCAAACCCUAAACUCACUCA
This 296-nucleotide long non-coding RNA is filed under the name Brassica napus (rape). RNAcentral's name for it is "long non-coding RNA (BNAP_LNC011441)". Lineage: Eukaryota; Viridiplantae; Streptophyta; Magnoliopsida; Brassicales; Brassicaceae. The record is from RNAcentral.